UGGGGAAUAUUGCACAAUGGGCGCAAGCCUGAUGCAGCCAUGCCGCGUGUAUGAAGAAGGCCUUCGGGUUGUAAAGUACUUUCAGCGGGGAGGAAGGGAGUAAAGUUAAUACCUUUGCUCAUUGACGUUACCCGCAGAAGAAGCACCGGCUAACUCCGUGCCAGCAGCCGCGGUAAUACGGAGGGUGCAAGCGUUAAUCGGAAUUACUGGGCGUAAAGCGCACGCAGGCGGUUUGUUAAGUCAGAUGUGAAAUCCCCGGGCUCAACCUGGGAACUGCAUCUGAUACUGGCAAGCUUGAGUCUCGUAGAGGGGGGUGGAAUUCCAGGUGUAGCGGUGAAAUGCGUAGAGAUCUGGAGGAAUACCGGUGGCGAAGGCGGCCCCCUGGACAAAGACUGACGCUCAGGUGCGAAAGCGUGGGGAGCAAACAGG
Molecule: ribosomal RNA, 429 nt
Filed under: Chloroflexota bacterium
Lineage: Bacteria; Bacillati; Chloroflexota
Description: Chloroflexi bacterium partial 16S ribosomal RNA
Rfam family: Bacterial small subunit ribosomal RNA
Source: RNAcentral